Molecule: long non-coding RNA, 740 nt
Organism: Topomyia yanbarensis
Lineage: Eukaryota; Metazoa; Arthropoda; Insecta; Diptera; Culicidae
Exons: 3
Source: RefSeq, a predicted model, not a curated record
GGUAAUGAGUGCCAUCGAACAUAUUCGGCAGCGAACAUGUUCGUUCGGAAAAAUGAUCCAAAUCUUCGUGCGCAAUCCUGAAACUAAACGAUUGAAAUAUAUGGCUGGCCUGAAAAUAUCGGUACACUCAAAAUAAUCGACACGUUAAUGCUACGUGAAACAUCAUAUAACUUCAAGAAUAUGCUUUUUCACUUCAGUUUAUCUGACAAAGGUAACAAUCGCCGGAUUCUUAAUGAAUAUGAAAUGAAGCGCACAUUACUUUCAUUGCAGUUGUCCCAUCUCUUUUAUGUGAAUGUCACGUUCUCGCUUAAAUUCAUUUUGACAACCAAGUUCUGUGUUCAUUCUGUGAUGUAUGAAAGGAAGAUGGCGUCUAUUCAAAAUAACCUGGAAGAGCUGCUCUCAGAUUUAACUUCUAUAACGCAACAUGUAUUGGGAUAUUUGAUGAAUCAACUUGAGUGAGCAGAUACGGAUUAGCCUUGGAAAUAUUCGGUGCCAGCUUGGUAAAAUUUACAAUCAAAAAACAAACAAACGAAAACGUUCCGGAAUUCAUAUUUCACUUCUUGCAAUCAGUAAUCAGCCUUCGGAUAGUAAACUGUUUUGUUAACAAUGAUCCGUAGACGUCAAGGAUGCAAGAGGAGAAAAUUGAACAUAGAGUGGUAGAUGAAAAAAUUACGGACACUCCGCUUGAAAUGAGGUACGGAUGCUGAUCAGGGAUGCUAUGGCAUAAAUCUGAGUCGGAG